Long non-coding RNA from Homo sapiens (human), 1167 nucleotides. The record is from Ensembl. NCBI's taxonomy places the organism in Eukaryota, Metazoa, Chordata, Mammalia, Primates, Hominidae.
GCUGGUCGCAAGCCCGCCCCUACCCGCUAAUCACCUGGCACCGAGCUCGAAGCGGCGCCGAGUCGUUCGCACGCGGAGAGGGAGGGUAGUUAGAGGGCCAUCCUUUUCUGCCGUUAUGGAUUUAAACCCAUAAAGAGGAAACGAGAAACCAGAGGCUCAAAGCUAAGGAAGCUCGCACCUACCGGCUUAACUUCGCACGCCUCUCCAGGAGCCGGGAACCAUCGCCCUUGGGCGCUCCCCGAUGCACGCCGGGAUACGCCUGGCGCCCCUCGGUGUGCUGCAGAGCAUGCCGGGAAAGGCACCUCUCCCGAUCUCCUGGCGCUCACCUCCCGGGCGUUCCUUUCGUGUCCCCUUGAAAGCCCGGUCCUUGGGCUUGGAAUGAGACGGUUUGGGUAAUUAUGGGAGUGUGGCGAGGCUCAUGCCUGCUUUGGUCAGUAGAAUACAGCUGAAGUGAUGUUGUACCAGUUUUGCGUCUGGUCUUUACAAGCACUGGUAGCUUCAACUUUCUCCUUCUUGGUACUCACCCACCAUGUUGUAAGGAAACCCAAACAGCCACGUGGAAGACAGUUCUAGUUGAGCUCCCAGCCCAGAGCCUAUCCCAACUCUCCAGCCAUACCCUGACUUCCUUCAGCAAAGAGACAGCUUCUGAUUCAUGUUCGUCUCACCAUAAUCAGUCCUUGAAGGCUCACCUAUCCUCGUGGCUGCAGCCAUUUCCCUCUCUGCAGAUACUUCCAAAAGUUACACUAGAUGUUAACUGAGCACUAAGGACACUACGUGAAAGACUGGAGUACAAACAUCCAAAGGACUGAAGAAUUUGAAGAGCACUGAAUGUGGGAGAUAGGACAGAGGAAAGGAGUCAAAUGUCUCCAAGAAACGAAGCCUGUGUGCCCUGGAGAAUGAAGAAGCAUCAUCAAAUCGGGGAGACUGAAGGAGGAAUCGGUUUUCAGAGAAAAACAAUUUAUAUUGUCUUAGCUGUGUUAGGUGGCAUACUAUUACAUUCAAGUGAAGCUGUGUAAUAGACAGAGAUGACAAAUUUUAUUCAUUUAUGAAUGCCCCCCAAAAUAUAUAUAUAGUUUUUGCCCUCAUGUCUCUUAUUGGGAUGACAGACAUAAAUCAAAGAAUUCCAUAAAUAAAUAUUAAAAUACAAUUUGUGAUAAAUGCUACAAA